UAUAUAGCUCACGAGUUGGUUAAAGGAAAUAACAGAGGGUUUAAAAUAGCAAGAUAGUUAAGUUUCUUGUUAAAAAUUUGAUUAAAAAUUAAUUAAUUAAUUUGAUAAUUAAAAUUAAUUUAAAAGUUAAUUUAAUAAUAAAUAAAAUUUAUAAAGUGAUUCCUUUAAUUAAUAAUACUAUUUAAAUUAUUGAAACAUAAGUAAAAAAAUAAAAUCAUUUAAAUCUUGAAACGUAUUUAUAAAUAAACUAAACGACUUUAGGGAGAUAAAUUGAGUAGCUAAGACUGUUUAACAAAGACAUAUUUGAAUUUUUAAUAUAGCUUGCCCGGUGCUAAUAAGUAAACGGCCACUUAGUGCUAAGGUAGCACAAUCAUUAGUUUUUUAAUUGAAGACUAGUAUGAAAAGCAAAACUUAGCCCAUAAUUCUACCUAAAUUUUUUUAAAUUUAAUCCUAAGUGAAAAUGCUUAGAUAGUAGCUAUAGACGAGAAGACCCUAAAACCUUAACAAUUUAAUUGGGACAAUUCUAAAGAAAAAUAAAUUUUUUAUAUUAAUUUACCCUAUAUAGUUUAAUAAAGGUACUUUAGGGAUAACAGCAUAAAUUAGAAAAUGAGCACUAAUCAAUUUCUUUAUAUGUGACCUCGAUGUUGAAUUAAGGAUCCUCCUCAAGCACAAAUGAGAGCAGGGGUAGUCUGUUCGACUAGCAAGCCUUACAUGAUUUGAGUUAAGAUCGACGCAAGUCAGAUUGGAUUCUAUCUUAGGUUUAAAAAGCUUUAAUUAGUACGAAAGGAACGUUAAAACAUUUAAUUUUUAUUUAUAUAAAUGUCCUAUGGGAGGUUUUGGGAGAUAAGAGUGUGAGACUAUGGAAAAAAGGAAGAAAAAGAAAAAAAAGGGGGGGGGGGGGUAGAACCGAUGUAUGAUA
This 919-nucleotide ribosomal RNA is filed under the name Sinergasilus undulatus. Its description in RNAcentral is "16S ribosomal RNA". The stretch from base 476 to 758 matches the Rfam family "Archaeal large subunit ribosomal RNA", at positions 2151 to 2715 of the family's 2987-position model. The record is from RNAcentral. Lineage: Eukaryota; Metazoa; Arthropoda; Copepoda; Poecilostomatoida; Ergasilidae.